This 355-nucleotide ribosomal RNA is filed under the name uncultured bacterium. Its description in RNAcentral is "partial 16S ribosomal RNA". It matches the Rfam family "Bacterial small subunit ribosomal RNA", at positions 527 to 881 of the family's 1533-position model. The record is from RNAcentral.
GGAGGGUGCAAGCGUUAAUCGGAANNACNGGGCGNAAAGCGCACGCAGGCGGUNNGUNAAGNCAGANGNGAAAUCCCCGGGCUCAACCUGGGAACUGCAUUUGAAACUGGCAAGCUAGAGUCUCGUAGAGGGGGGUAGAAUUCCAGGUGNAGCGGUGAAAUGCGUAGAGAUCUGGAGGAAUACCGGUGACGAAGGCGGCCCCCUGGACGAAGACUGACGCUCAGGUGCGAAAGCGUGGGGAGCAAACAGGAUUAGAUACCCUGGUAGUCCACGCUGUAAACGAUGUCGAUUUGGAGGUUGUGCCCUUGAGGCGUGGCUUCCGGAGCUAACGCGUUAAAUCGACCGCCUGGGGAGU